This 64-nucleotide transfer RNA is filed under the name Arapaima gigas (arapaima). RNAcentral describes it as "tRNA-Pro". The record is from RNAcentral. Lineage: Eukaryota; Metazoa; Chordata; Actinopteri; Osteoglossiformes; Osteoglossidae.
CAAAGAAAGGAGAUUUUAACUCCCACCCUUAACUCCCAAAGCUAAGAUUCUCAUUAAAACUAUU